This 580-nucleotide ribosomal RNA is filed under the name uncultured bacterium. RNAcentral describes it as "bacterial SSU rRNA". It matches the Rfam family "Bacterial small subunit ribosomal RNA", at positions 453 to 1034 of the family's 1533-position model. The record is from RNAcentral.
AUAAUACCUAGAGAUCUGGACGUUACUCGCAGAAUUAGCGCCGGCUAACUCUGUGCCACAGCCGCGGUAAUACAGAGGGUGCAAGCGUUAAUCGGAUUUCUGGGCGUAAAGCGCGCGUAGGCGGCUAAUUAAGUCAAAUGUGAAAUCCCCGAGCUUAACUUGGGAAUUGCAUUCGAUACUGGUUAGCUAGAGUGUGGGAGAGGAUGGUAGAAUUCCAGGUGUAGCGGUGAAAUGCGUAGAGAUCUGGAGGAAUACCGAUGGCGAAGGCAGCCAUCUGGCCUAACACUGACGCUGAGGUGCGAAAGCAUGGGGAGCAAACAGGAUUAGAUACCCUGGUAGUCCAUGCCGUAAACGAUGUCUACUAGCCGUUGGGGCCUUCGAGGCUUUAGUGGCGCAGCUAACGCGAUAAGUAGACCGCCUGGGGAGUACGGUCGCAAGACUAAAACUCAAAUGAAUUGACGGGGGCCCGCACAAGCGGUGGAGCAUGUGGUUUAAUUCGAUGCAACGCGAAGAACCUUACCUGGCCUUGACAUAGUAAGAACUUUCCAGAGAUGGAUUGGUGCCUUCGGGAACUUACGUA